UACGGGGGGGGCAAGCGUUGUUCGGAAUUACUGGGCGUAAAGCGUGCGUAGGCGGUUCGUUAAGUCUGUUGUGAAAGCCCUGGGCUCAACCUGGGAACUGCAGUGGAUACUGGCGAGCUAGAGUAUGGUAGAGGAAGGUGGAAUUCCCGGUGUAGCGGUGAAAUGCGUAGAGAUCGGGAGGAACACCAGUGGCGAAGGCGGCCUUCUGGACCAGUACUGACGCUGAGGCACGAAAGCGUGGGGAGCAAACAGG
This 253-nucleotide ribosomal RNA is filed under the name uncultured bacterium. RNAcentral describes it as "partial 16S ribosomal RNA". It matches the Rfam family "Bacterial small subunit ribosomal RNA", at positions 524 to 776 of the family's 1533-position model. The record is from RNAcentral.